UGAGAAAUACGGCAUUUCCUGUUAGACUUUGUGACUCAGGCAGUGAUGUUGAAGCUGAGAGCAGAUGCCUAAAAGAAAAGGAGGACUUGUGCGGGAGAGUGUUGGGACAGGGCAAGGGAGGAGUAGGGCCUGUCAGAGGAGCUGAAAGAAUGCCCUGGAGACUGGGGCCGCGUAGGGACUGUAGGAGAAAAGUAGAGAGUCGUGUAAGCAGAGCACGCCUUUCCUUGACUCUCUGUCGAGAGCUUUUGUGAUUCCAGCUGCUCUCUGCCUCAGACACGGUGCCCUCUGCGUGUGCAGUCAUCUAAAGAGUGCAGGGUGUGGGACCGUGGAGAAUCCAAGGCAGUAUAGUCAUGCUUUGCUUAACGGUGGGGAUAAGUUCUGAGGAGUGUGUCAUGGUCAGGCAAUCUCGAGACUGUGCAAACCCCACGGAGUUCCUAAACCUGGAUGGCAGAGCCUCCUACACACCUAGGCCAUAUGGGACUAAUCUGAUGGGACCCCCGUUGUUGACUGAACGUCCCGCUGUAGGGCAUGACUGUACUUCCCAACUCCAGGGCGCGGAAGUGUAGCCUGUGGGGCUUUGGAAAAGAACAGAGACGCUCAAGGCCUACUCUGGACCCACUGACUCAGAAUCUACUGGGAUAGUUCCCGGCCUUAAAGACCAGACGUAGUCCUCCUCUGCAGACAUCUCAUCAACGGUUUUUCACGCUGGGUUUUCCCUCCUCUGAGAAAACAGGCCAAGAGAUUGUGAGGAUCCAUAAUUAGUGUUUUAAUACAUUUGGCAGGACUCAGUGUUUUUCACGUUCUGUGAUACUGGGAUCUGCAUCUCCACUGGAAUGUGUUAAACCUUGAAAUCUUGUCCAAAGGUCAUGUCAUUACCUAGAGAAUCCUUCUGUGAAUUCCAGGCAGAUUGCCAUCUUUCUGCUCCCGCCUCCUCACCUUUACAAUGGGGAGAAUAACGGUAACCUACCUUUUGGAUGUGAGGAUUAAACGAGACAGUUGGUGCAAAGCAGUCGGCACAGGAUCUGGCACAAAGUGAAGCCUUCAAGAAAUUAUGAUGACAGUAGUUUUUGAUUUCCCUCCAGUCGGAAUAUAGUUGAGUUGAAGUUAGUGGCUGUGUCACAGCUGUGUCUCAGGCUGGUGUCUGCCGCCCCUGAGCUAAGCCGUAAAAAUCCCUAGAAUAACUUUUCAA
Molecule: long non-coding RNA, 1189 nt
Filed under: Equus caballus (horse)
Lineage: Eukaryota; Metazoa; Chordata; Mammalia; Perissodactyla; Equidae
Description: lncRNA (ENSECAG00000044486.1)
Source: RNAcentral